Molecule: ribosomal RNA, 429 nt
Filed under: Pseudomonadota bacterium
Lineage: Bacteria; Pseudomonadati; Pseudomonadota
Description: Proteobacteria bacterium partial 16S ribosomal RNA
Rfam family: Bacterial small subunit ribosomal RNA
Source: RNAcentral
UGGGGAAUAUUGGACAAUGGGCGAAAGCCUGAUCCAGCCAUGCCGCGUGUGUGAAGAAGGUCUUCGGAUUGUAAAGCACUUUAAGUUGGGAGGAAGGGCAGUAAGCGAAUACCUUGCUGUUUUGAUGUUACCGACAGAAUAAGCACCGGCUAACUCUGUGCCAGCAGCCGCGGUAAUACAGAGGGUGCAAGCGUUAAUCGGAAUUACUGGGCGUAAAGCGCGCGUAGGUGGUUCGUUAAGUUGAAUGUGUAAGCCCCGGGCUCAACCUGGGAACUGCAUCCAAAACUGGCGAGCUAGAGUAGGGCAGAGGGUGGUGGAAUUUCCUGUGUAGCGGUGAAAUGCGUAGAUAUAGGAAGGAACACCAGUGGCGAAGGCGACCACCUGGGCUCAUACUGACACUGAGGUGCGAAAGCGUGGGGAGCAAACAGG